UUAUACUGUGAAACUGCGAAUGGCUCAUUAAAUCAGUUAUCGUUUAUUUGAUAGUACCUUACUACAUGGAUACCUGUGGUAAUUCUAGAGCUAAUACAUGCUAAAAACCCCGACUUCAGGAAGGGGUGUAUUUAUUAGAUAAAAAACCAACGCCCUUCGGGGCUCCUUGGUGAAUCAUAAUAACUUAACGAAUCGCAUGGCCUUGCGCCGGCGAUGGUUCAUUCAAAUUUCUGCCCUAUCAACUUUCGAUGGUAGGAUAGUGGCCUACCAUGGUGGCAACGGGUAACGGGGAAUUAGGGUUCGAUUCCGGAGAGGGAGCCUGAGAAACGGCUACCACAUCCAAGGAAGGCAGCAGGCGCGCAAAUUACCCAAUCCCGAUACGGGGAGGUAGUGACAAUAAAUACUGAUACGGGGCUCUUUUGGGUCUCGUAAUUGGAAUGAGAACAAUUUAAAUCCCUUAACGAGGAACAAUUGGAGGGCAAGUCUGGUGCCAGCAGCCGCGGUAAUUCCAGCUCCAAUAGCGUAUAUUAAAGUUGUUGCAGUUAAAAAGCUCGUAGUUGAACCUUGGCUCUGGCUGGCCGGUCCGCCUCACCGCGAGUACUGGUCGGCUGGAGCUUUCUUCUGGGGAACUCAUGGCCUCACUGCUGUGGGGGAACAGGACUUUACUGUGAAAAAUAGAGUGUCAAGCA
This 689-nucleotide ribosomal RNA is filed under the name Penicillium corylophilum. RNAcentral describes it as "SSU rRNA". It matches the Rfam family "Eukaryotic small subunit ribosomal RNA", at positions 74 to 782 of the family's 1831-position model. The record is from RNAcentral. Lineage: Eukaryota; Fungi; Ascomycota; Eurotiomycetes; Eurotiales; Aspergillaceae.